GCCGGGAUCGCCUAGCCUGGUAGGGCGGCGGCCUGCUAAGCCGUUGGGGGAAACCCCGCGUGGGUUCAAAUCCCACUCCCGGCG
RNAcentral lists this transfer RNA (84 nucleotides) under Sulfolobales archaeon HS-7. It matches the Rfam family "tRNA". From Rfam's summary of the family: Transfer RNA (tRNA) molecules are approximately 80 nucleotides in length. Their secondary structure includes four short double-helical elements and three loops (D, anti-codon, and T loops). The record is from Rfam by way of RNAcentral. Lineage: Archaea; Thermoproteati; Thermoproteota; Thermoprotei; Sulfolobales.